AUAUGACUAGCUAGCUGAGUGUACCUUUGUUGGAAAAUAAAGAUUCUUUCAAUAGAAAAUGUUAUGGGUUACAAAUCAAACAGAAUAGGGAAAGUAGAGAGAGAAGCUCUGUCUUCUCUUUAGACUUUCUCUUGCUAGGAGCCUCUGUUGAGAGUCGUCGGUGUGCUCCGUUCGUCUGUUGGAUGGCGUUGUCUAUCCCUCUGACGGUUUUGUCCGGACAGCCCCAUCUGGUUCUCCGGCAGCUGAGUCUGUUCUUUUUCUUCCCAAUUUCAUGUUUUCUUCUCCCUUUCUCCAGAUUUGGCCUCAUGCUAUCUCUCUACAACCUUCAAAAUCAAUCAUUGCAGGAAUCAUCGAAAUUCCUCGCCUUUCUCUUCAGAUCUACGGCCUCGGGCUCCUCAAGUUUGAAUCUCUCUAUUGUUAUUCAAUGCAUUACGAUAUGUAAGUUGUGAAAUAGAGGUGUACAGAGAUCAAGCAGCGUCUCCGGUGCAUGCACCGACACUUCUGUCUUUUUUACUUUCCUUGGGUCUUUGCGACGGCUCCAACAGCGUCUCUUCUGAUAGCUUUAGCAGUGAGUUCCAUGGUAGAUUUGAGGCUUGUGUUUGCAAGUGCUAUCUCAAUUCUACUUGGGUUGGUUGGUUUUUGAUUUUUGGGUUUUGUGGAAUGGCUAUUUCAGACUAGGAGCGGUUUUGGUCAUCAAAGCAAUUUUCCGUGCAGGCGUGUGGCAGUUUGUGGCGAUGACGCCAUUGAAAGUUUCAUCAAUGCCUAGGUUUUUGUAGGGUUUGUUUUUGAGAUGGGCCGUUUUGAUUUUCCUUUGUUGUU
This 819-nucleotide long non-coding RNA is filed under the name Fragaria vesca (wild strawberry). RNAcentral's name for it is "long non-coding RNA (FVES_LNC000579)". Lineage: Eukaryota; Viridiplantae; Streptophyta; Magnoliopsida; Rosales; Rosaceae. The record is from RNAcentral.